ACCACUUUUCUAGAGUUCUCUACCUUCUUUCUAAGAGUUCUAACUCCUGAGUCAUCUCUUUGAUGAUCAAGAGGUGUCUAAACGAUCACGACGUCAAGGUCUACAAAUCCAACCGAUCAAUUUUUGUUUUAGAGCAAUGCCUCAUAGGUCCGUUUAGGAAUUUCUUACGUUUCAAGCGACCGGCGGGACGCUUAUGUGGGUUGAGAUGUUAUUUUGAGGGAUUCACCUUUUCAAUUGUUCCAGCUAGAGGUAAGAGAGAAGCAGAUGAGUUGUUGGAUAGAUCUACAGAAGUAGAUCUCUUCUUUGAGGGAGAUUUGUUUUACCUAGUUGUUCUUUUAACAUCUAUGUAAUGUUUCAUUUUGGUAGUUUUAUACUCUUAAAAUGGGAUGUUACAGUUCCCAUCAUGAGCUUACUUAAUC
This is a long non-coding RNA of Vigna angularis (adzuki bean), 419 nucleotides long. RefSeq lists it as uncharacterized. The transcript is spliced from 3 exons. The record is from RefSeq and is a predicted model, not a curated record. Lineage: Eukaryota; Viridiplantae; Streptophyta; Magnoliopsida; Fabales; Fabaceae.